Small nuclear RNA from Ailuropoda melanoleuca (giant panda), 99 nucleotides. The record is from Ensembl. Lineage: Eukaryota; Metazoa; Chordata; Mammalia; Carnivora; Ursidae.
GUAUAUAUUUUUAAAUACAGUGCUCACUAUUGGAGCAAUACAGAGAAGAUUAGCAUGGCCCCUGUGCAAGGAUGACCUGCAAAAAUAUAUUUUAUGAUU